AGAAAGAGAACACAACAUUUCGGCCGUGGAGCCUUCUUCAGACUUCCAUGAGCCUGCAAGACCCCAAGGCAUGAUGUUUCACAUAACAGAAUUUCAAAUUUUAGGAGACAUUAUAAAAAAUAUACCAAAGGAAACCCUGACAUCUCACUAGACAGUAGUGUGAAGUAGUUGAUAGGACUUUACAACUGUGAGGAUUUUAAUCCCAGGUG
This is a long non-coding RNA of Lepisosteus oculatus (spotted gar), 209 nucleotides long. RefSeq lists it as uncharacterized. Lineage: Eukaryota; Metazoa; Chordata; Actinopteri; Semionotiformes; Lepisosteidae. The record is from RefSeq and is a predicted model, not a curated record.